This is a non-coding RNA of Danio rerio (zebrafish), 2206 nucleotides long. The record is from RefSeq and is a predicted model, not a curated record. Lineage: Eukaryota; Metazoa; Chordata; Actinopteri; Cypriniformes; Danionidae.
CAUCAUUCACGAGGACGGACCCCGCAGACUCUGCUCCAGUUGAACACCCUCCUCGAGGCGACCCGCUUGAAAGAUGAUUACAAAAACUGUGUCAACUUGCUUCAUUUUGUAAACAAGUGGCGACAUGAACUGAAGUGUUGCAGCCCUGUGACGCUAUAUAGGACACUUUGGGACUUGGCUGUCUACAUCAACAUGGUGUAAACAAACAAGAAUGGGUCCACCACACUGAGACGAUCAGGAUGGCUUUUACAGUGCUAAAUUGAGAGGAAAACUGGAACUGCUAGCAACCGAGAAAAGGUCUGGUCUGGUUUUUGUUUGGUCAUUUUGGCUGAUAUGAAUUUUCUCAGCGUGAGGAUACUCAGGCUCUCAUUGUCAGAGACAGAGCAAUCAGAAAAGAAGACGGACCCACUGAGAACUGCAGGUUCUGCAGGUUGCAAUGUCCCGAAUUUUGGUUGCCAAUCUUGUUUGUUUUGGUUCAAUUAGGAAUUUCCAAACCAGCGCAGAGCCCGGGGGACCAGAGUGAGUGUGUGAUACACACAAAGUGUAUAUACAAUUGUGUUGUUUACAUUUGUUUAUUUAGGUUUAAUAGUUGUAAGAUAUGUUCGUGCAGUAUUUGUUUGCAAAACAGUGGACAUUUGCGUUUUCAUGGAGAGGACUUUUAUUUUGACACUCAAUCCAGGGAAUCUACCACGGCGAACUGCGCGCUCACUCAGGUCGCCAGAGGAGCUGCAAAGGAGCAGACGUGACUCCGUGGUUUUCACUUUAUUAACCUGUUUUACAGGUAAAUAUGGACAAACUAAACAUACUAUUACAGUGAUUGUGUAUUAUUUUGAUGUGUGGAAUAUGUACAAGUGUAUGAGGUGAUUUAAGAGUAUUUUUGAGUGCCGAUUAUAUGUUAUGUUUGGACUAAUGUAAAAAAAUAAGUUGUUAAGUGUGCUUCAGUGAUCAGUAUUGUAGUCGAUGUUAUUGUGUUAUUUGUUUUGAGGCAAAGCUACCUGUUAAGACAUGUAAAGAGUUAAUUUAUUACAGUUAAAAGGCUCCGUGAGGCUCACUCAGCACUCGCGUUUGGCGCGCCUAAGGGUCAGGUGACCACCCACUCAAGAGAAGCACAGAGAGCUGCUGCAGCUAUAGGGUUUCUCUGAAAAUGCCUCCAUAUGAGAGAAAAUGGUGUAGUUAAGUUCACAUUUACUAAGAAUAUGAGUAUUGCUGAGUUUAUACUAGUUUUACAGCUUUAUAUGUACAUCUACAAAUAAUAUAUUUGUAAUUAAUAAUUGUUAAUAUUGAUUAAGAUGUUUAUUGAGUAUAUUAAGAACAACUAAAAGGAGAAAAAUGAGAAGAUGAGACCGAGUGAUUGAUUUUUGAUGUUGUGGACACUAAAUCCACUAUUAUUGGUUUUAUCUGUUCUAAAGUGACAAAAUGUGAGAGACAGACAGUAUAUUGUCAAUUGUGAAAGAUUUAAAAGCAAAUGUCUUUUUAUUUUCUGAUGCUGUACGAUAAAUGUGCAGAAAGCCAGUGGAGCUGCAAAGAAGCAGACGUGACUCCGUGGUUUUCACUUUAUCAUCCUGUUUUACAGUUAUACAGUUAUCUGUCAGCUGGGUCUCUGGAGUGCUCCGACUCGGUCCCCCCUGGUCCAUUCAUUUGUUAUUUUGUUUUUUAGGAAUUUGUGUGACAUGUUUGUUUUAAGUGUAAAUACUUGCAUAUAUAUAUAUAUAUAUAUUUUUUUUUAAUGAUGUAAAGUAAUUAUGAAACCUAUAAAUACAUGAAGUCAAUAUUAAAUUUAUGUUAAAAGCAUUAUUAAAAAAGGCAUUAACUAGUAAAACUAAAAGAAACAAAAAACAACUGCACUUUUAAUACUUCAUAAUGUAAAUGACCUCUGAUUGACUAACCUGACAUGGUUUGCACAGCUUAUCUCAAAAGAACCAAAAAAAAGUUUGUGUAUAAAAUAAGUCGCUAAUUUUGAGAUAGAAAAAUAAUAAUAAGUAACGACUUUCUCAGUCGAUAUGUUUAUAUUAUUUAAAGAAAAACAAGGAUGGCACAACACCACCUGAAUCCAUAUCUGAAAUCCACAAGAUUUGUUUUCUGUUUGAGAGAACAGAGUAAUCCAUUCAUUCAGCUAUUUUAUGCAGGUUCCUUAAAGUUCCUUACGCUGAAAAAAAGUACAAUGAAAAAGAGUCCCAUUAUUGCUAAAAUAAAUCCAGUGUCAGCA